AUUAUGAAAAGCAAAAAAUUAUGGCGGUAUUUUAAGCUUCUCAGAGGAAUUUGCUCUUUAAUGGAUAAAACGCCAAAAUCUUACUUAAAUUUGUUAGUUCAAUUUGUAUACCACUAUAAAAACAAUUUAUAACUUUAAUUGUUUAAAUUUAUUAAAUUAAAAUAUAUUAAGUCAAGGUGCAGUAAAAAUUUAAGAAUGAAGUGAAUUACAUUACUUUUUAGUGAAAAAAAAAAUUAUAAUAACACUUAGGAUUUGAAAGUAAAU
Molecule: ribosomal RNA, 264 nt
Filed under: Rhipicephalus sanguineus (brown dog tick)
Lineage: Eukaryota; Metazoa; Arthropoda; Arachnida; Ixodida; Ixodidae
Description: partial 12S ribosomal RNA
Source: RNAcentral